Small nuclear RNA from Delphinapterus leucas (beluga whale), 100 nucleotides. The record is from Ensembl. NCBI's taxonomy places the organism in Eukaryota, Metazoa, Chordata, Mammalia, Artiodactyla, Monodontidae.
UUGCUUCAGCGGCACGUAUACUAAAAUUGGAAGGAUACAGAGAUUAGCAUGUCCCCUGCACAAGGAUGACGCGCAAAUAUGUGAAUCAUUCCAUAUUAAA